Molecule: long non-coding RNA, 2095 nt
Organism: Zalophus californianus (California sea lion)
Lineage: Eukaryota; Metazoa; Chordata; Mammalia; Carnivora; Otariidae
Exons: 3
Source: RefSeq, a predicted model, not a curated record
CCCCUUCCCCCACCUCUCUCUCUUUCUCUCUCUCUUAAAAAAAAAAAAGUGAAUACACAAACAUUGCUCAAAGCCAGAAAUGUCAGGUUAGUUUUGAAAUUCAUGGACUUGUCUCUACAUUCUACAUACCUGGAUAUAGCUCAGUUUCUUGAUGGAUGCUGUUUGCUUUAAAUUUGAUCUCUUCCUUUGAGAUUGAACCCAAUAGGUUAGGUGUGUCAUAAUUCAGAAAUAUGCUAAAAUUUAUUCAUUUGUUCAUUGAGUAAAUAGGUAGUGAAUAGCUACCAUGUGCAGCUACCGUCUGUCCUAAGCACUAAAGAUAUACCAGUAAACCAAACAACCAAAAUCCCUGCCCUUGUGGAGCUUAUAUUUUAGGAGGAGGGGAGGAAUACUACAUAAUAAAUACUUAUAAAGUAUAUGAGAAAAUGAGAUAUGAUAUGAAAAAAAUAGAACACGGUACAUUGGGAGUGGGUUUGGGGACAUAAGUAGUAUGAUUUUAAAUAUAGCUGACAGGAUAGAAUUCCAUGAGGUUAAGCAAAGACAUACAGGGGAUGAGGGAUUGAGCUAUGCACAUAUCUGGGAAAAGGGCAUUCCCAUGGCAGCAGCCCAAAGACCAAAACAUGCGUGGUAAAGAAAGAGAAGAAAUAGACCAUGCAAAUCAUGUAGAGCCUUAUGGGUCGCUGAAAGGAUUUUACUCUGAGUAAAAUGGGAACCACUGCAAAAGAAACACAGAAACCUGAAGUGUGAUUCAUACGCAUCAAAACCUUUGAACCGUACCCCCUAGGGCCUGGAUCGUGGUCUCUAUCAUUUACCAUUAAAAGGAAACAGGACUUAAUGAAGAAAUGACUGAUUACAGAUCUGAAGCAAGAAAUGUACAAGAUGAAUCUGGUGCACCUUGCUAGAGCAGAGAGCAAGAAAGCUGCCAAAGACUGCUAGGAUUGUGUUAAAAGAACUCAGUAGCCAACGUGGAGCAUCUCCUACAAUACAAAGAGGUAAAUUUAGACUAUUACCAAGGAUAAGAACUACAAUAGUUUGACAUACAUAAAACAUGUUCAAAUCUGUGAAUUCAUAAUGAUACCUAAACAAAACAAAACAAAACUGACUUUGAUGCUGUUAGAGGAUGCUGGUGCACCAACUCAUCACUUUCAGAACUGGCAAAUAAAGGGACUUUCCAACACCAACUGUAGUAACGGAUAAUCAAAUAGAAGAUAACACCUCCUCAGCCUGGAGGAUUCAGUACAGACAUCACCUCCUUGGGAAGCCUUCUCUGACCCCUAUGUUCAGGCUAAAAUCUGCUGUUAGACCAUUACAUUUCAACUUUAGCCUGUGGAAGACUGAAUUGCCGAAUGCUGACUUCGAAAGAAUUCAAGGGAUCCUUGAACUUGUGUGCAACCAAUGACCAGCAGUCAUAUAUAUUACCAUGAUCUUUAAUCAGAUUAAGUACAUCAGUAAUGUGAACAAGGCUUGUCAUUUGAAUGUAUUUUAAUUUCUGAAUAUAGGACAAGCAUUUUGGAUGUUCCUUUAGUAAAAAACUAUAUGCUUUAUAUGUUGAAAUUCUAUCAGUCAGUUGAAGUGUAACAGUAUAUUAUUGUAAGAGUGUAACAUUACAAUAAUUAAUGAUGAUUGUGAAAAGUAGGUAAAGGUGUACAAAAUAUGCAUAUUAAGUGAAAAAGGAUGUUAUAUUAGUAAAAUUUUAUGUAUAUGAUAUGAGACCAUUAUUGUCAAAUAUAUUAAUGUAAUAUUAGUAUCUGAAGAGAUAAAAAUCAUAGCUUCUCUGCCUUUUGGCUAAGAUCAAGUGUAGAGAGAGAAAAACCAGAAGAUUGUAUUUUUGUACAGUAAUCAUCCCUGGCAAUGAGGUUCUAGGACAUUUUUACUUUUAUUUUAUAUAUUUAUAUGAUGCUUGAAUUUUCAUUAAGAGCAUACAUUAUCUUUUAUUAAAAAAAACAAUAAAUAUAUUUAAAAUACAAACAAAACUGAAGAUAUACAAGUUAGCAGUCUGAGAAACUAUAUGAUGAUCUUUCUUUUCUUGGAAGAUUCUGUGACCCAGUUACCUAGGACUUUUAUUUCCUCACACUUUUUUUGCUGGCCUUUCAAUCAC